AUGGUUCGGAUGAGCGACUUCGGCAUCCGCUUCUUCUUGUCCCUCCCGAUGGUUCCCACCGUCGACGAAAUCCUCGGCGCCGGCGCCGGCGGGGUGUUCCCUCCAGGGUGGAUCCAUGGAAGGAAGAAGUUCCUUGAUGAGCAUUGUCAGGUCAAGAACAGGAGGGAUGGAGACAAGAUCGGGCUGAUGGACAAGAUCCGCGUAGAUUUGCUCACUAGGGGCUUCGUUGAGGUGCAGAAGGAGUAUGUGGAGUUGAGCUCUGAUGAUGAGAAGGACUCGGACGAUGAUGAUUGUCCCUACGAACCAUAUGAUGAGAACAACCCCGGAGGUGUGGUCCUGCUGAUCUGA
This 348-nucleotide ribosomal RNA is filed under the name Triticum aestivum (bread wheat). Its description in RNAcentral is "partial small subunit ribosomal RNA". The record is from RNAcentral. Lineage: Eukaryota; Viridiplantae; Streptophyta; Magnoliopsida; Poales; Poaceae.